Molecule: long non-coding RNA, 352 nt
Filed under: Sorghum bicolor (sorghum)
Lineage: Eukaryota; Viridiplantae; Streptophyta; Magnoliopsida; Poales; Poaceae
Description: long non-coding RNA (SBIC_LNC018798)
Source: RNAcentral
AACCAUGCAACUAUCUUGCACCAAAAUUAAUACUAUCUCCAACUGGUCUGAAGUGAGAUUCCAUUCUCUUUCUCAUCUGUCUUUUGGAAAAAAAGAAAAAUAUCAUUUCGAAAAGUUUUCCAUAUCUCUUCUCUACCUUUUCGCACUUGCCAAACCAAUGUCACCUAUGCGCAAUUAUACACGCGGUCUGAGAGCGCGCAUCCCGAGAAGUAGCACGAGAUGGGAAAGAAAAAGAAGAAAAUAUAGGGUUCUAGGUAAGAGGAGCGCAAGAGAAAGAUCUAGUGGAAAGGCUUAAAUACAUAGAGAAACAAAAUUCAGGAUUUCUUAAGCAAAACUUGAGACCAAGUCGUGG